UGUUAUCAGCAACACAACGGCUUCGAGA
RNAcentral lists this small RNA (28 nucleotides) under Bombyx mori (domestic silkworm). RNAcentral's name for it is "ovarian small RNA-9165". The record is from RNAcentral. Lineage: Eukaryota; Metazoa; Arthropoda; Insecta; Lepidoptera; Bombycidae.